UGGGUAAUUUACCCUCGAUUCUGGGAUAGCCCGGGGAAACCCGGGAUUAAUACCGGAUAGCCUCUCGAGCUUACGAGCUCUUGAGAAAAGGUAGCUUCGGCCUCCGAUCGAGGAUGAGCCCGCGGCGGAUUAGCUUGUUGGUGGGGUAAUGGCCUACCAAGGCGACGACGGGUAGCUGGUCUGAGAGGAUAACCAGCCACACUGGAACUGAGAUACGGUCCAGACUCCUACGGGAGGCAG
Molecule: ribosomal RNA, 240 nt
Filed under: uncultured bacterium
Lineage: Bacteria
Description: partial 16S ribosomal RNA
Rfam family: Bacterial small subunit ribosomal RNA
Source: RNAcentral